RNAcentral lists this ribosomal RNA (489 nucleotides) under uncultured bacterium. RNAcentral's name for it is "bacterial SSU rRNA". It matches the Rfam family "Bacterial small subunit ribosomal RNA", at positions 33 to 507 of the family's 1533-position model. The record is from RNAcentral.
GACUACGCUGGCGGCGUGCCUAACACAUGCAAGUCGAACGCAUCUGUGCUUCGGUACAGAUGAGUGGCGAACGGGUGAGUAACACGUGAGUAACUCCCCUGGGGGAGGGGGAUAACCAUCUGAAAAGGUGGCUAAUACCCCAUAUUCUCUUUUCUCAUAAGAGGAAGGAGGAAAGAUGGCGUAAGCUAUCACCCCGAGAGAGGCUCGCGUCCCAUCAGCUAGUUGGUAAGGUAAUGGCUUACCAAGGCUAUGACGGGUAGCUGGUCUGAGAGGAUGGUCAGCCACACUGGGACUGAGACACGGCCCAGACUCCUACGGGAGGCAGCAGUGAGGAAUCUUGGGCAAUGGGCGAAAGCCUGACCCAGCGACGCCGCGUGGAGGAAGAAGGCCUUCGGGUCGUAAACUCCUGUUCGGGGAGAAGAACAGGAGAGGAGUGAAUAGCUUCUCUCCCUGACGGUAUCCCCGGAGAAAGCUCCGGCUAAUUACGUG